AAUAUAGUCCCAAACAUAUACAGUUCAGUUCUUUUACUGCUUUCUUCUUCAUAAAAGCCGGACGUCUUGCAACCCUUGAAUUUCCCCUUCUUUUUGUUUGCAUAAAUUACAUAAUUCUCUUAAUUAUAAAUACUCCAAAUCCGAUUUUCGAACAGCGUAUUUUAAAAUCUAAAGAAAUAUAAGCGAUUAAAGAUUACAUUUUGCAAGCCAACUGGAUGCUUAAACAACUCAAAAGACAGCCACGCGCUCAUUAUAGCUCUCUUAUAGUUUUAGAAUCUGAGUGAGUUACUGUUUUGAAUAUCUAAAAUCUUCAAAUUAAGUUUUUAUGAUUUUAAGUUAAAUUAGACUUAAGAAUAUGUGUAAGAAUUGAGAAUAAAUAUUUACUUUUUAUUUUAGAAAUGAACACACAAGAAAAUUUAAACGACGAUGAUGGUGACUUUUUUAGAAAAAAAUUAGAAGAUUUACAAAAGUCCAUAGGUGAGUAAAAUUGCUUUUAUGUUUAUUAUACACCCUA
Long non-coding RNA from Hydra vulgaris (swiftwater hydra), 514 nucleotides. RefSeq lists it as uncharacterized. Lineage: Eukaryota; Metazoa; Cnidaria; Hydrozoa; Anthoathecata; Hydridae. The record is from RefSeq and is a predicted model, not a curated record.